RNAcentral lists this ribosomal RNA (468 nucleotides) under uncultured bacterium. Its description in RNAcentral is "partial 16S ribosomal RNA". It matches the Rfam family "Bacterial small subunit ribosomal RNA", at positions 28 to 507 of the family's 1533-position model. The record is from RNAcentral.
GACGAACGCUGGCGGCGUGCUUAAUACAUGCAAGUCGAACGGAAAGGCCCUGCUCUUGUGGGGUGCUCGAGUGGCGAACGGGGGAGUAACACGUGAGUAACCUGUCCCUGUCUUUCGGAUAUCUUCAGGAAACUGGGGCUAAUACCGCAUAGGAGCUCUUGCUGCGCGGUGGGGGAUGGAAAGUUUCGGCGGUGGGGGCUGGACUCGCGGGUUAUCAGCUUCUUGGUGGAGUAGUGGCUUACGAAGGCUGUGACGGAUAGCCGGCCUGAGAGGGUGAACGGGGACAAGAGGACUGAGGUAGGGCGCAGACUGGUACCUGACGCAAUGGUCGAGAGUCUUGCGCAGUGAGCCGGAGCGUGAUGCGGCGGCGCCGCGUGCGUGAUGACGUCCUAUGGGGUGAGAACAACUUUCGCAUGAGACGAAGCGGUAUUGACGGUAAUGGAUAAGAAAGCACCGGCUAACUACGUG